GACGAACGCUGGCGGCGUGCUUAACACAUGCAAGUCGAACGGAAAGGCCCUGCUUUUGUGGGGUGCUCGAGUGGCGAAAGGGUGAGUAACACGUGAGUAACCUGCCCUUGACUUUGGGAUAACUUCAGGAAACUGGGGCUAAUACCGGAUAGGAGCUCCUGCUGCAUGGUGGGGGUUGGAAAGUUUCGGCGGUUGGGGAUGGACUCGCGGCUUAUCAGCUUGUUGGUGGGGUAGUGGCUUACCAAGGCUUUGACGGGUAGCCGGCCUGAGAGGGUGACCGGCCACAUUGGGACUGAGAUACGGCCCAGACUCCUCCGGGAGGCAGCAGUGGGGAAUAUUGCACAAUGGGCGGAAGCCUGAUGCAGCAACGCCGCGUGCGGGAUGACGGCCUUCGGAUUGUAAACCGCUUUCGCCUGUGACGAAGCGUGAGUGACGGUAAUGGGUAAAGAAGCACCGGCUAACUACGUG
Molecule: ribosomal RNA, 468 nt
Filed under: uncultured bacterium
Lineage: Bacteria
Description: partial 16S ribosomal RNA
Rfam family: Bacterial small subunit ribosomal RNA
Source: RNAcentral